UUUUAGCCCAGAUGAAAACGGCAUCCUUUUGUAAAACUUAAAGCCUUUGGCUGGAAAUUUUACUAAAGAUAUAGUGGACAGCUGGAAAUAGC
This 92-nucleotide small RNA is filed under the name Flavobacterium limicola. RNAcentral describes it as "Flavo-1 RNA". It matches the Rfam family "Flavo-1 RNA". The record is from RNAcentral. Lineage: Bacteria; Pseudomonadati; Bacteroidota; Flavobacteriia; Flavobacteriales; Flavobacteriaceae.